Molecule: long non-coding RNA, 1829 nt
Organism: Numida meleagris (helmeted guineafowl)
Lineage: Eukaryota; Metazoa; Chordata; Aves; Galliformes; Numididae
Source: Ensembl
GCAGAGGACAGCACAGAUGGAGUAGCAGGGGCAACUUCUGCGCCGCUCGGUCUCUCCAACACAGAUGGAGUAGCAGCGGCCAUUUCUGCCCCGCUCGGUCUCUCCAACACAGAUGGAGUAGCAGCGGACACUUUUGCCCCGCUCGGUCUCUCCAAUGCAGAUGGAGUAGGAGUGGAAACUUCUGCCCCGCUCGGUCUCUCCAGUGCAGAUGGAGUAGCAGUGGACACUUUUGCCCCGCUCGGUCUCUCUGAGACCUUUCAAAGUCACCAAAGAUCAGCAAGCGGUGCUGAGCAAAGGGUCAUGAGACAACUUGAGCGACAGCUUUCUUUGCUAGAAAAGCUCUUUGGGGACUUCUCUGAGUUGCAAAGAAGGCAGCAAGAACUGUUGUCUCAGAAGCAGGAGAAAGGCAAAAGAAAAGCUCAAAGGCAAGAGAGAGAACUGCAGCAAUUGAAAGAAAUGCUCCAGGAGAAGACAUUGGCUUUAGAAACCAUCGAAAAAGCUCUUUCCCAGGCCCAAAGGCAGGCAAAGGAACGUUGUGCUCCACACCUUGCAAGAAGUGAACCAAGAGAAGAAAUCCUGAGAUUUCUCAUGCAGAGAAGGAGGUUCUGCAGGAACAAGUGGCCCAGCUCCAAAGUGAAAACCUUUCACUCCGUCAGAAGCUGGAAGGCGUGCAGAAGACCACUCAGGAAAGACUGAGAACAGCCGGACAGCUGCAACGAGAACUUGCUGAGGCUGUCGGAAAGCAGCAGCUUGCAGAAGCAUCCCUGAAAACUUACGCCGACUUCUGCGACACACUGAAGAAAGAAAACUCCAAAUUGCAACAGGACUUGGACAAGGCUAAUGCCAAGGUGCGUGACCUUUCUGCACGGCUGGAGGUGGAACUCUCAAAGUCGCUGCUGCAAGAAAGGGCAAAUAAGGGGCUAAAAGUGAAGGUGGCUGUUCUCCAGCAUCGCUUGGAGGCUGCAGUGGCAGAUUAUAACGCAUUGGUGCAGAGUGAAAUGCAGCAUCAAGGAAAAACGCAAGAGGAACUUGCCAAGAGUUUCAGAAAGCAGCAGAAUUCAGAAACAUCUCUGAAGCACUCUGAAGAUUACUGCUGUUACCUGGAGAAUGGCAUCUUGAUACUGAAUGAAGACUCGGACAAGCCUAAUGCCAAGGUGCUUGAGCUUUCCGCACAGCUGGAGGUGGAACGCCAAAAGUCCCUGCGGCUAGAAGGGGCAAAUCAGGAGCUGCGAGAGCUGUUUCUCCAGUGUCGCCCACAGACCACUGCAGCAGGUUAUAGCCCAUUCUCACAGAAUGGAAGAUGGCACGAAGAGCGAGCCCAAAAAGAAAUGGGACAGAAGCAAGGGCCCGGCCUCCCUUUUCCAGCAGCUUCUCAAAGCAGACUAGAGGAGACCAAUGCCAAAGAAGCAAUGCUUAGAAAGCAGCAGGAGCAGCGAACUGCAGCUCUGACAUCAGAAAUGGACAGAACCCAAAGCACGCAUCAGGCAAGGCGGCAAAUAGCAGACUGUGGAGAAGAACUAGACCUGUCAGAAAAACCAUUCCCAAUGGAUGAGAACAUUAGAAGAGGCCUUGCAAAGAUAUCAGACAAACCCAAUGAGAUGCUACCAGUGGGCAAGGACAAAGGCCUCAGGAAGACCCACAAAGAAACUUCUCUGUUGCGUGGCCAACAACUCGGAGCAACACCAAGAAAAAACAGACCUGCAUUACAUGCAUGUAAGCAGCUUUACCUUCUGUUCUUCAGUGGCCAGGUCUUUCAGAGAUGGGAUUAUUCCCCGUGUGUAGGCUGUGGAAUUUCCUUUGCCACCUUCAGAAAGCUAGCUGCCUGGUAG